This 795-nucleotide ribosomal RNA is filed under the name uncultured euryarchaeote. RNAcentral's name for it is "bacterial SSU rRNA". It matches the Rfam family "Archaeal small subunit ribosomal RNA", at positions 59 to 859 of the family's 1478-position model. The record is from RNAcentral. Lineage: Archaea; Methanobacteriati; Methanobacteriota.
CGUGAGGGUUCGGCCCUCGGCAGACGGCUCAGUAACACGUAGAUAAUUUGCCCUUAGGUGGAGGAUACCCUCGGGAAACUGAGAAUAAUACUCCAUAGAUCUAGACUGCUGGAAUGCUUUUAGAUUGAAAGAUUUAUCGCCUAAGGAUAAGUCUGCGGACUAUCAGGUCGUAGUCAGGGUAAAUACCUGACUAGCCUACGACGGAUACGGGUUGUGAGAGCACUAGCCCGGAGAUGAUAUCUGAGACACGAUAUCAGGCCCUACGGGGCGCAGCAGGCGCGAAAACUUCGCACUGUGCGAAAGCACGACGAGGGAAUCCCAAGUGCUGGCUCGUAAGAGUCAGCUGUUUCUUUGUCUAAAAAACAGAGAGAGUAAGGGCUGGGUAAGACGGGUGCCAGCCGCCGCGGUAAUACCUGCAGCCCAAGUGGUGGCCGCUAUUAUUGGGCCUAAAACGUCCGUAGCCGGUUCUAUAAAUGCCUGGGUAAAUCGUACGGCUUAACCGUACGAAUUCCGGGCAGACUGUUCAACUUGGGACCGGGAGAGGCUAGAGGUACUCCUGGGGUAGAGGUGAAAUUCUGUAAUCCUAGGGGGACCACCAGUGGCGAAGGCGUCUAGCUAGAACGGGUCUGACGGUGAGGGACGAAGCCCUGGGGAGCAAACGGGAUUAGAUACCCCGGUAGUCCAGGGUGUAAACGCUGCUCGCUUGAUGUUAGUCGGGCUCCGAGCCCAACUAGUGUCGGAGAGAAGUUGUUAAGCGAGCUGCCUGGGGAGUACGGUCGCAAGACUGAAACUUAA